This is a long non-coding RNA of Mustela lutreola (European mink), 524 nucleotides long. RefSeq lists it as uncharacterized. The record is from RefSeq and is a predicted model, not a curated record. The transcript has 2 exons. NCBI's taxonomy places the organism in Eukaryota, Metazoa, Chordata, Mammalia, Carnivora, Mustelidae.
AUCAUAUAGCUGAGCCAACCUGCUGUACUUUAAAACACUUGACCACAAUUCUCCAGUGGAUACUCAACCCUGGCUUCAAACUCCCUUGUCUCUCCGCUCCUGUACUAGGGAUGAGGGAGCAGAAGGCAAGCUUAGGACAAAGCAGAAACUGGCACCCUACACCCUCUCCCCAUGCCAUAUGUGUAACAUUCCUCAUGCACUCCUGGCUGCCCUAAAGGAAAAACGAUGCUUAACUGAUAGAGAUCCCAGUCCUGCAGGACAGGAGUAUCCCUCCAUCUACGAAUGUCCUGGUGACUUACAAGGAAGGAAGAAGCUUUCUCAUCAAUAGCCUGACUUCCAGACACCCAUACCUCAGUUUCCGGAAGCCCUAACAUCACCCUCCCCUCCAUAAAAUUGAGGGAGGCUAAGGGGGAGGGAAGUGUAAUAAAACUGAAUUUCUUCUAAGCCCAAAGCCCACUGACAAGGAUGUGUGAUAGGAGGAAUGUAACAUAUCUCCAGGAAACUCCCGACUGUCUUCAUGCUUU